CUACGGGGCGCAGCAGUAGGGAAUAUUGCACAAUGGGCGAAAGCCUGAUGCAGCAACGCCGCGUGCGCGAUGAAGGCCUUCGGGUUGUAAAGCGCUUUUCUGAGGGAAGAGGAAGGACUGUACCUCAGGAAUAAGUCUCGGCUAACUACGUGCCAGCAGCCGCGGUAACACGUAGGAGGCAAGCGUUAUCCGGAUUUACUGGGCGUAAAGCGCGUGUAGGCGGUUUGGCAAGUCGGAUGUGAAAGCUCCUGGCUCAACUGGGAGAGGUCGUUCGAAACUGCCAGACUAGAGGACGGUAGAGGAAGAUGGAAUUCCCGGUGUAGUAGUGAAAUGCGUAGAUAUCGGGAGGAACACAGUGGCGAAGGCGGUCUUCUGGGCCGUUCCUGACGCUGAGACGCGAAAGCAUGGGUAGCGAACGGGAUUAGAUACCCGCGUAGUC
RNAcentral lists this ribosomal RNA (439 nucleotides) under uncultured bacterium. Its description in RNAcentral is "partial 16S ribosomal RNA". It matches the Rfam family "Bacterial small subunit ribosomal RNA", at positions 339 to 795 of the family's 1533-position model. The record is from RNAcentral.